CUGCAGCUAGUUAACCUGACUUGUGCACCUCCCUCAUGGGGGCUCAGUGUGCAAUGGUUGCAAAAUGGAGAUUCCCUAGUUGUGUAAACACCUCAUUCCUUGAAAGCAUUGCUUUAAGGGUUCUUGAAGACAUUA
Cercocebus atys (sooty mangabey) is the source of this 135-nucleotide small nucleolar RNA. Its record names the gene SNORA70. It matches the Rfam family "Small nucleolar RNA SNORA70". From Rfam's summary of the family: snoRNA U70 seems to be exclusive to mammals and is a member of the H/ACA class of snoRNA which contain H (ANANNA) and ACA box motifs. H/ACA box snoRNAs are involved in the conversion of uridines to pseudouridines (5-ribosyluracil) a constituent of structural RNAs (transfer, ribosomal, small nuclear, and small nucleolar). Lineage: Eukaryota; Metazoa; Chordata; Mammalia; Primates; Cercopithecidae. The record is from Ensembl.